GCCGGGCGCGGUGGCUCAAGCCUGUAAUCCCAGCACUUUGGGAGGCCGAGAUGGGCGGAUCACGAGGUCAGGAGAUCGAGACCAUCCUGGCAAACACGGUGCAACCCCGUCUCUAAUAAAAAAUGCAAAAAAACUAGCNNNNNNNNNNGCUAGUUUUUUUGCAUUUUUUAUUAGAGACGGGGUUGCACCGUGUUAGCCAGGAUGGUCUGGAUCUCCUGACCUCGUGAUCCGCCCGCCUCAG
RNAcentral lists this signal recognition particle RNA (241 nucleotides) under Chlorocebus sabaeus (green monkey). RNAcentral's name for it is "Metazoan signal recognition particle RNA". It matches the Rfam family "Metazoan signal recognition particle RNA". Rfam says of the family: The signal recognition particle (SRP) is a universally conserved ribonucleoprotein. It is involved in the co-translational targeting of proteins to membranes. Lineage: Eukaryota; Metazoa; Chordata; Mammalia; Primates; Cercopithecidae. The record is from Rfam by way of RNAcentral.